CGGGGGUCGGGGACCGACCCCCGUGGAACACACCACGACCCUCGACAAUGGAUAUCUCGGCUCUCGUCUCGAUGAAGAACGUAGCGAAAUGCGAUACCUUGUGCGAAUUGCAGAAUCCCGUGAAUCAUCGAAUCUUUGAACGCAAGUUGCGCUCGAGGCCUCGGCCGAGGGCACGCCUGCCUGGGUGUCGCGAG
RNAcentral lists this ribosomal RNA (194 nucleotides) under Gnetum gnemonoides. Its description in RNAcentral is "5.8S ribosomal RNA". The stretch from base 37 to 190 matches the Rfam family "5.8S ribosomal RNA". Rfam says of the family: 5.8S ribosomal RNA (5.8S rRNA) is a component of the large subunit of the eukaryotic ribosome. It is transcribed by RNA polymerase I as part of the 45S precursor that also contains 18S and 28S rRNA. Functionally, it is thought that 5.8S rRNA may be involved in ribosome translocation. The record is from RNAcentral. Lineage: Eukaryota; Viridiplantae; Streptophyta; Gnetopsida; Gnetales; Gnetaceae.